This 218-nucleotide ribosomal RNA is filed under the name uncultured Cellulomonas sp. RNAcentral describes it as "partial 16S ribosomal RNA". It matches the Rfam family "Bacterial small subunit ribosomal RNA", at positions 1166 to 1382 of the family's 1533-position model. The record is from RNAcentral. Lineage: Bacteria; Bacillati; Actinomycetota; Actinomycetes; Micrococcales; Cellulomonadaceae.
GAGGAAGGUGGGGAUGACGUCAAAUCAUCAUGCCCCUUAUGUCUUGGGCUUCACGCAUGCUACAAUGGCCGGUACAAAGGGCUGCGAUACCGCGAGGUGGAGCGAAUCCCAGAAAGCCGGUCUCAGUUCGGAUUGGGGUCUGCAACUCGACCCCAUGAAGUCGGAGUCGCUAGUAAUCGUAGAUCAGCAACGCUGCGGUGAAUACGUUCCCGGGCCUU